Molecule: ribosomal RNA, 479 nt
Filed under: uncultured bacterium
Lineage: Bacteria
Description: partial 16S ribosomal RNA
Rfam family: Bacterial small subunit ribosomal RNA
Source: RNAcentral
GACGAACGCUGGCGGCGUGCUUAACACAUGCAAGUCGAGCGAUGAAGCGCCUUCGGGCGUGAAUUAGCGGCGAACGGGUGAGGAACACGUGAGAAAUCUGCCUUCAACACUGGGAUAACUCCGGGAAACCGGGGCUAAUACCGGAUAUGAAACCUGCGGGCAUCCGCGGGUUUGGAAAGUUUUUCGGUUGAAGAUGAUCUCGCGGCCUAUCAGCUUGUUGGUGAGGUAAUGGCUCACCAAGGCGACGACGGGUAGCCGGCCUGAGAGGGCGACCGGCCACACUGGGACUGAGACACGGCCAAGACUCCUACGGGAGGCGGCAGUGGGGAAUAUUGGGCAAUGGAGGAAACUCUGACCCAGCGACGCCGCGUGCGGGAUGAAGGCCUUCGGGUUGUAAACCGCUUUCAACAGGGAAGAAGCGAAAGUGACGGUACCUGCAGAAGAAGCACCGGCUAACUAUGUGCCAGCCGCCGCGGUAA